Molecule: long non-coding RNA, 2644 nt
Organism: Phyllopteryx taeniolatus (common seadragon)
Lineage: Eukaryota; Metazoa; Chordata; Actinopteri; Syngnathiformes; Syngnathidae
Exons: 2
Source: RefSeq, a predicted model, not a curated record
CGCGUUUGAGGCAGUCUUGCGCGGCUAUCGAGGCCUCGGCGUUAACGCUUUGUUGCGAGCGGAAUGGUGUGCGCAUGUGUUUGUUGGUGUGUUUUGUCUGGAGGCCAUCACCGUUUACACAGAUGGGUUGAAACACUAGAACGCUACGUUAUCACGCUUUCAGGCGAACAAAGGUGCUUUUCACAACACCUACACCUGUUGUCGCCGGCGUACGUGAUGAGCACAAUGAAAGCAAGACUUUUCAUGUUUCUUUUUGUUUUGUUUGACGAUGUAUCUCCCCUCCUGGAUCCCAGACAUAUCAUGUAGUUAUGCACGUCUGCAAUUGCCGCCCAUCGCGAGGACAUCGCGUAUCACUCAGCGGGUAUUGAGCUUUCACUACAUGAUUGAUACUGGCUCUCAAGCACAUGAACUGCUUCAAACAGGUUGCACAGACCUGUAUAUGUUACAAUUAUUAGCGUGAUGUCAGUGUCCUCUUUUCCUCGGCGAUACCACCGAGCUUGACCGGGGCUUUUUGUUCCUCCUAAGUGGGGGGAAAGUUGGGCCCGAAGACAGCGAUGGGAAAAGGGCCGCGACGUGGAGACCCGAGCCGAGCCGAGCCGAGCCGAGUCGAGUCGAGUCGAGGGUGAAAGAGGUUAAGAACAUGAGACAAUUCUGGAGAGAGAUAGAGAGCAUAAAAAUGACGGGGUGGAGCGGAACAUGUGGAAAGGGGGAAAGAGGAUGAUGUGCUGGAGGCAGGUAUAUCUGCAUUCUCUCCACACACAGCAUCGGCCUGUCUUAGGUAUCUCCAUCCCAGCAGCACUCAGUGGCAGAUUUACAGCGUUUCUUUGUGCAUGUGUGUCUAUGUGUGGCUCUGUGUCGGAACGGCGGGGAUAAAUUGAGAGUGAGGAGGGAGAGAGCAUGUGAGUGGAGGUGAAGGGCAGCAAGCAAAUAGCAACCAUGUUGCAUUCCAUUGAUAGCGCAAUCCCCCUCCGCCCGAUCGCCGCCGUAUUUCAUCUUCCCUCUCUAACUUUAUCCAUCCAUCCUUUCCUCCGUCUCAUCUCUUCUUCUUCUUCUUCUUCUUCUUCCUCUUUUCCUGGCACUCAAUCGCUCCUUCCAUUGCUCAGCUGGGUCCCAGGCUGUAAAGCCCUCUCAGGGGGAAGGGUGUAAAUCAGUCUCCCCAUCUCAGGAGAGUUCCUGGAGCACAGCAGACUCAACAAAGCCUGGCUGUUGUGGAAGAGCAAAUGUUGGACCACGAAACACACUCUCAUUUGCAGGUGAAGCCCGCAUGUGUGCGCAGAUGCGCUCACACAUUUCUUUUUGUGCUGGGUUUCAAAAAAUGGAUUUGAUCUCUUCAUCGUCUAAACGUUUGCGUGCAUCCAGAAAAAAAAACCCUAUUCCCGCCACCCCACACCCUAAGGCCUUUUGUCCAGGGGUGGGAGGGGGGCGUCCAGACAAGCUUGUUGUCUCCUUUUAUUUUCUCAGACCCCCUCCUUCCUUUUCUGUACUUCCCACUCUGGUUUAUUGCACUUGAUUCUAAGCGUGGCCAUUCCUGAGAUGGCUCAGAUAGCAGCUGAAGCUAAAUUGCCCGUCAUAAAGUGUCUGCAAUAGCAAUGUAGCUCUGCUGCAAAGAGGUGUGAGGCAGUGAGGGCCCACUAUGAAAAUACAAGGUCCUCUUUUUAAUCUUUAAAUGUGGAAUAUGAACUCUGUCUCAACAUCCACAAAUCAGGAGAAUCUUCUUUAAACAUUAAACGAUUCGGUUGCAUGAUCGAUUUCCUAAGUGCCUCCUAAAUCACUUUUAUGCAUACAAUUUUCAGGAACAUUCGGCUAUUUGAGUGUGAGGGUUUUGGAGAAAAGUGACUGAAAAUCAAAAGUAAAAUGAUCUAAUGGUAUUUUGGGACAUCAAAAUGCUUCUCCGUGAUACUACUAAUUACUCAGACAAGACAGGCUGGUUAAAGUGACAUGUGGUGAUUUACGGGGCAGCCGUAUAUUCGGCUGUGCUAUGUACCUGUCAGAUGGCUGACAGAUGGAUGACUGCUGGGCUGUAAUUUCCCUUCCUGUUUGUAUCUGUUCUUGUGGAGCAACAAACACACUUGCAGGGCCUUGACUGCAGAGGGGGCACAUGUAAAAGUCUAACCGUUGCUGGCAUGACAACAGCAGCCCAUGCCCAAGAAGAAGAGACAAAGUAUGGCGGAGGAGAGCUGACUGAAGGAGAAUACAGAAGUCAGGAUUAUCGGUCGAGUUCACCGGGAGGGGAAGGCAAUUCAUCAGAGCGCGGCGAGAGAGGCGAGGCGGCGGAGAGAAAAGGAGAGAGGGAUGUAAGGGGGCAUCUUUGAGAACAUGGAAGGAGAGACAGGGGAAGGUAAAGGUGUGAGAGGAAAUCAAAACAAGACGGAAGGAAAAUGGGGGUCAAAGAUGGAGACGGAAGGGUGGAAAUGUGGUACAGUAUCACCUGGAAAUGUGUGUAACAGACUGAUGAUUAUAACAAGACAAGCUGAUGGAACGUUUGCACAAACUCACACUGAACCCUCCUAAUAUUGUUUCUUUAACAUUAAACAUGACAAAAGUGCCACAUUUAGACAGGACAAGAGUUUUAUUGGAGUUGCUGUACUGUGAGGCACCACGAGCAAUAUAAGUGCUUGAACGAAUAAAGAUCUUUUGUACUCGA